AUGACAGAACAACCGAUUAACACGCUUUGCUGGAACGUGAGGGGAUUAAAUUGCCCAGAUCGAAGGGCAACAGUUAAAGCUACAAUUGAGGGGUCCUCUUGCCAUCUCAUUUGCCUUCAGGAGACGAAGUUGAGCUCAGUCAACAUGUUCACUGCCGCGUCCAUUGGUGGAUUUAGAUUUCGCGGCUUCGCGCAACGUCCGGCUAUCGGAACUAGGGGAUGCAUCCUAUUGCUUUGGGAUGAGAACCUUCUUGAUGUCAAUGACAUUGUCGCAACCAACUACUGUUUGUCAGCCUCUGUGCGAAUUCAUUCAUCCGGAAUCUGCUUCAAGGCAACAACUGUCUAUGGCCCCACGGACCAGGCUAGCAAAGAUGCUUUCUUUGCGGAGAUCAUCGCCCACAAGACGUUGCAGGAUAUGGCAUGGCUCGUCCUAGGGGACUUCAACCAGAUCUACCGAGCUAGAGACAAAAAUAAAAGGAACGUGAAUCGUAGUAGGAUCAACUGCUUCCGGUCUGCGUUGCAAACCUGCGAUCUCAAGGAAAUCCACCUCCAGAAUCGGCGUUUUACGUGGAGCAAUGAGCAUAAUAACCCAACGCUAUGCAAGCUCGACUCAUUCUUCUGCAAUGCCGAGUGGGACACCACUUUCAACACUCAUGUCCUCCAUGCCCUGUCGUCCUCCCUCUCCGACCACUGCCCCUUACUGCUAGCUGAUGACAAGGGGCCGAGACGGCCUCGAUCCUUCAAGUUCGAAAACUUCUGGGUUUCUUUGCCUAGAUUUCAUGAGGUGGUCCAAAAAGCUUGGAAUGAGCCAAUGCAGCACUCUGAACCUUACCUAAGGCUUCACCAUAAACUCAAAAAGACUGCUUUGCGGUUUUCUGAGUGGAGCAAGAAUAUGUUCUCUAAGGCCAAGAUCCACCUACAUGCAGCCCACAUGGUCAUCCUUCGCCUGGACAUUGCUCAAGAGGAGCGGACUCUCUCUGUGGAGGAGCUAGACCUUCGCUCACGCCUCAAGCGGAGGGUGAUUAGCCUUGCAGUGUUGCAAAGGGCUAGGAAAAGGCAGUGCGUGAGGAUUGCUAACCUAAGGGAAAGGGGAUGCCAAUACAAAAAUUUUCCACCGCCGCGUCAAUGCGAGAAGAAGGAAAAAUCACAUACAUCGAAUUAG
RNAcentral lists this ribosomal RNA (1161 nucleotides) under Triticum aestivum (bread wheat). Its description in RNAcentral is "partial small subunit ribosomal RNA". Lineage: Eukaryota; Viridiplantae; Streptophyta; Magnoliopsida; Poales; Poaceae. The record is from RNAcentral.